This 253-nucleotide ribosomal RNA is filed under the name uncultured bacterium. Its description in RNAcentral is "partial 16S ribosomal RNA". It matches the Rfam family "Bacterial small subunit ribosomal RNA", at positions 524 to 776 of the family's 1533-position model. The record is from RNAcentral.
CACGUAGGGCGCAAGCGUUGUCCGGAAUUAUUGGGCGUAAAGAGCUCGUAGGCGGUCUGUUACGUCUGCUGUGAAAACCCGGGGCUUAACCCUGGGCUUGCAGUGGAUACGGGCAGACUAGAGGCAGGUAGGGGAGAAUGGAAUUCCCGGUGUAGCGGUGAAAUGCGCAGAUAUCGGGAGGAACACCGGUGGCGAAGGCGGUUCUCUGGGCCUGACCUGACGCUGAGGAGCGAAAGCUAGGGUAGCAAACGGG